RNAcentral lists this long non-coding RNA (33964 nucleotides) under Mytilus galloprovincialis (Mediterranean mussel). The record is from RNAcentral. Lineage: Eukaryota; Metazoa; Mollusca; Bivalvia; Mytilida; Mytilidae.
GGAAUUAUCUACAAUAUCUUGCCAAAAAAGGCGUGGCGUGGCACUGAUUGGUUAUUUUCAAUUCACAACUAGCUGUAUAAAACUGAUAAACUAGCUCACUUGCUACGAAAUCAAUUAAAGUUUUUAAAGUAUGGAAGACCAAUCAACGUAAAAGGUAAGCAAACAUGCGAAUUUAAAAGAUGAUCAGUAUUAAUACUAAGGAGAGAAAAGUAGUUCGAAUAUAAAAAUAAGAAGAUGUGGUAUGAUGGCCAAUGAGACAAUGAGAUAAACCUAAUCAACAUAGUUGGCUUUAAAAGGUCAUUGGCACUCACACCACAUCUUUCUAUAUCUAUUUACAUAAAAAUUGUGUAGAAAUUCAAUUAAGAAAAUUAACGGCAGUCAACUACUGUGAUGACAUUUAAUCAAAUUCAAUUUUAUUUUCAGUUUUCUUUUGCAACUUGUUAUCUUUCAAAUGUUUAUAAUGAAACAAUACCAUUUUCAAUUACUGUAAAUUCAGAAAUUAUUGCGAUGUUUUUAUUAUUGCGAAAAUUGCGACAGGGUUAUAAUCGCAAUAAUUUAAACUCGCAUUUUGAAAUUUAGUAUUUAACUUUAAAUAGGAUUUUUCUCAAUAUCGCAAAAAUAAAAAUCGCAUAUUACUCUAUAAUGACAAAAUCGCAAUAAUAAAUGCACGCAAUAAUUUCUGAAUUUACAGCUAUUGAGCCAGUCAGUUUCUUGGGACUCUUUUUCAAUACAGGUUGAAAUAUUACUACUUUUUUUGUUGGUAUUUAGUUAAAAAGCUUUAGUAUUUUCUUCAUGGUGAUGAAUGAACUGAUAAUUUUAUUGGUGAUGAAAGAACUGAUAAUAUUAAAAUACCUUGUAUAAUCAAUAUAUCAAACGUUUGAUUUAGAUGUUAAAAAAUUUCUUCUGUCUUAAUUCAAAAUAUUUGCUCCUGCUGGAACAUAAUAUUGCAUUUCCCACUAAAUAACUUCAGAUAAAUAAACGUAUCCAACAACUUUUCUCUUGAAAGCAAAAUCAAAUAAUGUUCAAAUGUACUCUUCAAUAAGACUAUGAUAAAAAAAUUUAGCAUUGGCUCUACAAAUUUCAAUAGUUAAGAGUUGAAAAGGAAUUCAAACUUCACCUAAGACAGACGUUUUAGCCGCCAAUUGUUACGAAGAGCAAGAGAUAAAAUCUAUAACAAAUAUCUAUUUUACUCAAGACAGUUACCAAUACUCCUUUUUUUCAACAGACAAUGUCAAAUAUUAGCAAAAGUUACAACAUACAGAUCAUGUUUUGCAAGUUCUAGAGGUAAGUGUUUCCCCUUUCUAUUCUCAUGUAGCAGAAGCUUAUUAAACUUUACUUUGAAGACGAUAUAUCCUCACUGAUGAAUGUACCUAAGUAAAAAAUUAGCUAAGAUUAAUUGACAGAUGUUUACAAGAAAGACUGUGGUGAAUCGAAACUAAUGUUAUCUAACAAUUUCAGCUCUUUUUUGGUUGAUCACUAGAAAGGUCGAAUGUACUCAUUAUGCAUUUUUAUUUCUUAUAUAAAGUAUUAACAAAACACUUUAGCGAUCAACAAAAUAGUUGAGAUUUUACAAAUAUACUGCCUGGAUUUCAAUGAGACUCAUUUGCUAUAAAAUCUAUGAUCACUAUAUCUAAAUUGUAUUGCUGUUUGUAGUUUACUUUUGUUUUUUAUUAUUAUGGAACCACUGCAUUAAGCUUAUUGAAACGCAAAGACGUGUGUGAAAUACUUUUGAAUAAACAAAUUAUCUAUAUCAGUGGGACAAUUAAUAUUCUAGUAUUUUUGCAUGUUUUUUUCUUCUAUCAGUCUGAGCGUUAAUGAUGAAAAUCAAUCCAAAAAAGCGCUUUUGUGGCAUUUGGUUUAUAAUUACAAAGUAAUUAGGAAUAUUGUAUACAAUGUGUGUAUUGACCAUUUUUUUAUUCAAAAUAAGGAACAUUUCGUAACAACCCAAUAAUUAAGGAAGUCAGCAAACAACAAAAGAAAAACAUUUCUUUUAUCAAAAGCAACUGCCCGUGUUCGGAGAGCGCCUCAUCAUAGCAUUUUUCGUGUUAAGGGAAUAUUUCCGACAAAAUGUAACCGGAAUCUCUCUUAAAUGGAAUUCGCUUCAGAGUAUCAUAAUGUUUUGUAUCCACUCAUCUGCUUAAAGAGACAGAGCGAUAGAAAGAGAGAAAUGUGUAGUAAGCCAUGUUGUAGAAAGUUGAUCUAUUGUCAUAAAAAUUCAUAAUAUCAAAUAAAAUUAGUAGAUAUGGGUUACUUAGUUCCAUUCAUUGAAAAAAGUAACAUUCAGUUUUAGUAGGAAUUUGUUUUGACUUUAAUUAAGCUCAAAUUAGAUUUGUUUGCUGGCUCCUCUUUGUGACUAAUGUAAGAUUACUAUGGUUAGUGUGUUUGUGUGUUUGAGUUAAGGGUGUCCCAUCAUACAUUGUAUUUGUCUUUAAGGAACCAAGUAAUGCAAUUACAUUUAAGUUAUAUGUCUGCUUCGUUUGAAUUCAGACAUAAUCAUAUUCACCAUAUUAAACAAUAAAUGCUUUGAUAAGAAGCAGAAUCACUGCUGUUGUUAGUUAGAUGAUGUAGACAAAAUUUAAAUUGUAUCAAUUAAUUAAUCAGUGUAUCCAUGACAGCAGAAUGACUACAUGUGUCUAAUAACACGUGUAAUGUUCACCUGAAUGUUUUACCUCAUUAAAAAAAGACAGGAUACUGUAGGCAAAUGCACUGUUACAGUUAUUUGUCUCACUAAACAAAGUCUAUUGCGGGUGAGGUGGUUAAGAAUGACCGUAAUGUCCCAUCUAAAUGAUGCAUGGUUGGUGUGAUAGUUUCUUGUAUGUAACUGAAUAAUAUUUAACAAAAAUCAUAAAAGGUUCUUUAUAUUGAUUUUAAACGCUUCAAAACAAAUAAAUGAAUUUCUACAGUAUUGUCUUUAAGAAACCAAUAACAAAAACUGAAUCUAGUGAAUUUUUAAAUUUUGUGAUGAUUUAAAAUUAAAUCGAAUAAUUAUACGUAAAUAUUAAAUUACGAACCUGUUCAAGGGAGAAAUUACUGGCAUAGCUUCAAUUGACUUUUUCGAAUUGGAACAUAGUACAAAGGAAUAGCACUCUUGCAUACAAAUGGCACAUAAGUGUAUUUGUGCUCAACCUUCAAUGAAUAUUCUAAUUUUUUUAUAUAACCAAAAGCUGUUAAUCUAUAGGGUAUUGACGACUAAUGAAUGCUAACCCACAAUAAAGCAUAAUUGUUUGAAAUGUUUUAAAACUUCAGCAGAAAAUGCCCGAACUACUUGACUUUCAUACCUCAUAAUAACGUGGUUACACAAUAAUAUAAUAUAGUAGUUAAAGAUUAUUUGAUAAUCAUAGUGUAAGAAUCAAUAAAGAUCGUAUGCUUGCAUUAACUUACCCAAAUACACUUUAAAUUAAAGCAUGAUCAUUUUGAAUUUGUUUAUUAAUUUUAUCCAUAUCUUUUGUAAUAUUAUCACAAUUGCCUGUUAAGAUCCGACUAAAUACCCAUAUCCCGAUAUUGUCAGGUAAAUACGCUACAUGUUGUUGGUUUAUUGUGGUUUACAAUAAUUUAUAUAACAGCACUCACUUCCUUGUGACAAUCCUUUUAGGUUGCAUUUUGUAAAUUCAGAUGUUUCAAAACCAUGAUAUAUAACAUUCAAAGAUGGUUGUUUGUUUUGUUUAAGUACUUGUUCCGAGAUAGGAUCUAUAUGUAUCUUCUUAUAUAGACCUAACUUAGAAAUGUUACUAGUAUAAAUAAGUAUAAUUUGCGACCGCUUAGAAUUCUGAGGUCGACCUUAAGUGAAUUUAGGGGUAGUAAAGAAUUAUUUCAGUAUAAGUGUAAACUCAAACGUAAAUUGAAAAUAUGCCGCACAACCCUACAUUUUGACCUUUGAAAAAAAUAGUCGUGCAUAUGAGCUUUCUAUUCCAGUAUAUAUUUAUUUGUUUGAAACUUCAUAAUAAAAGUGGUAAAGUUUACGGCUGUAAUAGGAGUUGCUUUUUUGAAAUUGCAUUGUCUAUAUUUACAGAAAUGCAACCUAUAUUGGGUGAAAAGGAGAACCUGUAAAAUUUCACUAAAUCUGAUUUCCAUUCAGAGUUUUUUAAUGAAAUAAAGAUUGAGAAAUCAUUGGUCGUCAAUCUGAUAACUAAGCAUGCAUCACAGUUUAUAAUUUGUAUAGUUUACACACAGCCCUAUAUGCAAAGUUAAUUCAUAAUAUAUGCUCAUCUGUAAUUUAAAUAAAUUGUUAAUUCGGAGAAUUUGAGGCCACAGGGACAAUAAACAGAGACAAUUCCUUAACCCUGGGUCAUAAAACAGAUUAUUUAGGCUUUAAAGGCAAUUUUCUUAUCAUUAUAAAGGUCUUUCAUAUAGAAAAUAUUAACUGUGCUUUGAAUUUAUGCACAAAAAAAAGAUUCCAGAAGACAGUUCUAUAAAUGUUUUAGUGAAUUCAUAUAUAAGACUUGUAACUUUAUGCAUACAAUUUUGUAGAUAAAGCUUUGAUUAAACACUUCUAGUCAUGUAUUAGCCAACUUCAUUUCGAUAUAUUGCAAGAGAUAAUAUUGUCAUGACAAGAAUUUUUCACUAUCCAUUUAUGGCAGAAAAUAAAAUCUUAAAAAAUAAAUAGGCAUGUGGAUUGGAGACAGAACAGGAUUUUAUACUUUAUAUUAUCUUGAAUGUUGUAAUGAUUAACAACUAAACUUAAUAUUUAUAGUAUUCUGAAAUGGUUUCAAUUUGUUAUCAGAAUUCUUUCAUAGAGGUUCUAUGAAUAUCAUGUCAGAAAACAUGCACAUCGGUUAUAAGUGACAUUGGUUUAAGUCUUGCUUUAAAAUUCUUAACAAACAAUUGAUAUAGGAUUGAGGGUAUAAAAUGAACUGUAAAAGAAAAGUUAGUGCAUAUGCUUUGAUUUCUUUUAGUCUAUGAUUCUGAUUAAUAAAUAUUAUUGUGAGAAAAGGUAUUUUUUAAGAGUUACCUGUUUGAAUACAUGUUGGUAAAGCUCCUUGAUUGAAAAAUCUAUUUUUAUAAAAUUUUAUUAAUAACUGAUAAACAAUGCCAAGCUUACAAUUUUGAGGAUUUCUUGAACAAAAGACUCAUAAGUGAAACUUUAACCAUAUUAAGUAAAAAGUGGGGAAAACGAAGUACUGAGUUGAGGAUCAUUGCGGAGGACCUGCAAUUUUAGAAGGAUUUGGUCAAAUAUAGCAAAGGUAAUAUAUUCCUUAGGAAAACUCCUUAGUAUUGCUGGCGAGAAUGUUAUUUAUACGACCCUGUCAUCAGAAUAUUUAUUCGGUGCAAACAAAGAAAAAUGACAAAGUGUCUUAUGAAUAAUAUUUUUAUUCCUUUUUUCUGUCAAACAUAAGAUGUUCUUUAAAUUAUAUAGAAAUGUCUAUCAUAUGUAAGUAGAAAAAGGGUUUAGUGAUUAUAAAUAGUGAUAAGAUUGUUUUGAAUCUAAUAAUCAAUUAUUAUUUAAACUUUGCAUUGUUAAAUUAGUCUAUCUCAUAUAAAUUUAGUUUUUGUCUAAUUUAAUACAAAAUUGUCUUUUCAAUAAUUGAAACACCUUUGUUUUAGUAUUCUAUUUUUAUCCAUUCGUCUCUUGAUUGACCUUGUAAACGCCCAUAUAUACCUAGUGAUAUCAUCAGCUGAUUUAAUUCAUAUAAAUAUGCAAAUCUUUCAAGGGAAAAAGUUCCAUAAACACUAGUCAUCACAAAUGUUCUCUUUGAUUGCCAAAUCAGUGUUGUGUUCUCUUAUUCCCAUCAAUAUUUGUGCUUGCACUAUUUUUUAUAUUUAUUUACAUUUUGCAGACGUUUGACUUCUUGUUAGAUAUGUUAUGUAACUUAUACGUAAAAAAAAAUAAUUAUCCGGGAAUGACAUUUAUUUCUAAACCUAUUCAACCACUUUUUAAGUGACCGUAGACAUUACACGAAUCAUUAUGUCACCAGAUCGAGCAUAGUUAUCGUAGAUGAAUUCACAAUCAUUUAUAAACUGCACCAUAGUGUGCAUCCACGUAUGUAGAUUUGCAUUUUGUGUUUAAAAUUUGCAAGAUGGCCACCUUUAUCAUUGAAAUGUCACAAAUGUGAAUAAUCGAUAAAAAGUUCCAAAUUGAAUGAAAUUUUCAGGAAAUAUAACUGGUAAUUUUUUGAAAUUUCAAAAUGACCACAUGUGUCAUAGACGCAGUCAAAAUGAGAUGAAAAUAGAAAUUGUUCCUUCUUUAUUCAAAGUUAGUCACCACUCACAGAUACGAACCUAAGUUUUACAACCCCGGAAUAAGAGUAUGACAAAAAUAAGUUGUAAAGAAAUAAUUCGUUAUAAUUCAUUGUGAAUUUUGAUAUCAUCACUAUGUAUUUAAUUAUAUAUGCCUCGUGCACAAGAAAUAUACACGUCAAUAAACCGUGAAAGAAAUAUGAUGCUAUGUAGUUAAGAAUAUAACAUCUAGCAGAAAAGUGUGUGUCGCAUUUUUUUUCCUUUUUCAAAAGCAUUUGUCUCGUAGUUUACCAAAAAAAAAAGGUUUAAUAUAACCAAACAGACUUUACACUGUGAAGUGUAGGCAAGUAUGUGUUCUGUUUAAUAAACGCACACUACUCUUAUUUGGCCCUCAUUCCUAUUACGUAACUUUUCACAUACCAAAACCGUAAAUCUUAUUCGAGGGAAGGAGGACAUUAUACCUUUGAUUAAACUACCGUAGUACUGGUUACCGGAACAUUGGAAACUCCAAAAUAAGGUUCUUUAUAAGUGUAAACAGGUACUGUAUUUCGAUUUUUUUCCAAAUUUAAUUCAUUUUUUUAUCGUUUAGAAUUAUUAUUAACUAUGUGUUCCAAAUGAAUAAUCAGUCGCUCACCUAUCAUUUGACACCUUUGUUAACCCCUAUAUGGAGGAACUAUGUCAAGUAUAUACUGUUUUGACCCGAUGGUGUGACGUUAAAUAAAGUCUAUCCGAAAAAUUUUGCAAAAAAUUUGCUUUAACAGGUGUAAUUGUCUGUCUAAAACUUGCAGUUAGGUGAGAGUUUUUGGGUUUUUUCUUUAAGACCUCGCUUUGACGUUGAGAUGAAGAAGUGUUUUGCUGUGCAUGUACCGAUUUGUGUCAUUGAUGUAUAGUUUAUAUCCUUUGUUUUUUAGCUCACAUGGCCUAAAUAUUAUAGUGAGCUUUCCUCAUCACUUGAGGUUUACUCUCGUUAAUUGUCAACUGUUAAUUUCUACAAUUUUUUCGCCUCUGAAACUACUGGGUCAAAUCAAUCAUCGUUGGUGUUCCUUAUUUGCAAAAUGUAUCCGAUGAUCCCACCUACCUACCAAGAUGGCCGACAUGACUUAAAAUAGAACAAGGGCUAAAAUGCAAAUUUUUCUAUUAUUUUGGAAAUGACUUUGAAAGUGAAAAGCUGACCGUAACAAAACGUUUUACAAUGUUGAGCUCUUCUUAUUGUUUAUUUAUGUCAUGCUUUCAUACGACUUCUAAUAAGAGUUAGUGCCCUUAAAGAAGGGAUCCUACCUUUUUUUUUUAAAUCUUUGCUUUUUAUCUUUAAAAAUUAUAAUAGAUAGACAGAAACUUUGAAAUAUAAAAAUGACUAUCAAGACAAGGUAAACAUUGCCGAUAUCUUCAGCCGACCUCUUAUUAGAGUCAUUGCUCUUAGCCUAUAAUGACUAUUUAUACCAUUUUUUGUGUUUUUGUCAUAUAUCUUAAAACUAUUUUAUAUAAAUAGAAACUUUAAACAGCAAAAAUUAUCAGCAAGACCAGAUCUGCAAACAAUUCACACCUGAACGAAAUUUUAAGAGGAUGCUAUUAUUUUUUUUAAAGCUAUGGCCCCUUACUAACAAUUUUUUAUUCACUAUUAUCUUGAACACUGCAAUACAUAGAUAAUUACUUUAAAUGCAUAACUGAUGACAAAAUCCACUAAUAAGCCAUAAUUGCCGAAAACUUCAGUCUACUCGUUAUAGGAAUUAUGGUCCUUUAAUGACAAUGUUCUAUCAUUUACGGAGGCACACUAUGAUUUGAAUUUUGAUUUGUAUUUUCAAAUAUAUAUUUACGAAAUAGUAAAUAGUCUUCGUAGGGUAAAUAAAAUGAUUCGUUAAGUAUGGAUCGGUAUAAAAAAACAUUUGAAGUACUGUUAUACCACUGUCCCAGGUUAGGGAGGGUUGGGAUCCCGCUAACAAGUUUAGAAGCCUGUUAUUCAGUGGUUGUCGUUUGUUUAUGUGUUAAAUAUUUGUUUUUCGUUCAUUUUUUUUUUUUUUUAUUUAUAUAUAAAUAAGGCCGUUAGUUUUCUCGUUUGUAUUGUUUUACAUUGUCAUAUCGGGGACUUUUAUAGCUGACUAUGCGGUAUGGGCUUUGCUCAUUGUUGAAGGCCGUACGGUGACCUAUAGUUGUUAUAGGCUGUGUCAUUCUGGUCUCUUGUGGACAGUUGUCUCAUUGGCAAUCAUACUACAUCUUCUUUUUUAUAAUUAAAACCAAAAAAAGGUUGGAAAAAAUGCAAAUAGUUUAAUCUAAUAAAUUACGGUAACGCUUGCUUAGAGUUAUUUCGACGCAGACACUUCAAGUGAUUUUAGACAAGUUUAAAACAAGGCGUGGUCUUAUAUGUUUUAAGACAGUAUUAAACCAAGACUUGUAAAACUUUCUUAAAAACUAUAUAACCUACUGAAACCAUGUUUAAGGUUGCAUUUCUGUAAAUUCAAACAAUGCAAUUUCAAUAAGAUCUCCCUUUUCGGCAAAACUCUGACACUUUCGUCUUAAAAUUUUGUGAAAAGUUAUUAUCUAGAAUGGAAAGUUGAUAUGCACUUCUAUUUGAUUCAAAUGCAUAUUUUCAAUAUUUAUAUGCCCCGAACUUACAUUUUGUACUACCCCUAACCUUUACUUUUUGUCUACUUCAGAAUUCAUUUAUCACCACAAAAAUAUGUUUUUAUACUGGUAGCAGUUUCAAGUUAUGUCUCUAUGAGAUGAAACAUAGAGAUAAUAUCGGGGAAACAGUAUGUCAACAAAUCAAAUUAUCUAUGAAUAUUAUAUAUCUCCCAAAAAGAGGCUUGCUUUGAGAAACAGCUUUAUUUUGCAAGUGCAACCCAUACAAACAUUUAUUCAAAUAGAAAACUCUCUUAAAACACUUUUCUCACAACAAUACUUAUUCAUCAGAAUAAUAGCCAGUUUGAAACUAUUCUGAUAACAAAUUGAAGGCAUUUUAGAAUACUAUAGAUGUAAUGUUUAGUAGUUAAUCAUUCCAACAUUCAAGAUUACAGUCCUGCCUCUGUCUCCAGUCAACAUCUCCUAUUUACUAAUGAAAGUUUACAAUUCUGCCUAAAAUGGUCAGUUUAUAUUUAUUGUCAUCUCUAGCCAUAUAUUUAAUUAUAAUUUAGCUAUUAUGAACUAGAAGAACGGUUUAAACAAAGCCAAGUAUUAUGUAUGAAGAUACCAGUCCGGUGUAUGAAUUUGAUAGAAAUGACUGCUUACAUCUAAUUUUUGCAUAACAUCUAAGCACAGUUAUUGUUUUCUAUACAAAAGACCUUUACAAUUAUAAAAUAAUAGCAUUUACAAGUAAACGUUUCUGUUUUAUGACCAAGGGGUAGGUAUUUUCCUGUAUUUUCCCCCUGGUGCCUCACAUUUUCGAAGUUUUUCCUCUGUUUCUAGCAAUGUUGAAUAUUUAGUACAUAUUUAGGAUAGCUCACACUGUUGUAAGUUUUAUUGAGGUCUUUUUGUUAUUCUAGCUUGUACUUGUUUAUGCAGCUGUCACCAAAAAGAGAACAUUUAGGUGUUACCGCUAACUUUUGGGUAAUAGACAGGAUAAAAACGCCCCACCAAUAAUAUUUAGGAAGGAUCAAUGAGUUGCAAUGACUACGAAGAGUGAAUAUAAGCAUUUCUAAACAAUUUUAAUUUCAAAUAAGCAUAUAUCAUGAAUCUAUUCUUAAUUCAGGGCUUUUAGUAAACCAUGCAUACUGUAAACUGUGCAUUUAUGCUGAUUCACCAUAGUUAAGGCCAAGGAUUUUCUCAUUCAUCAUGAAAUAUUUAUGAAACUUCAUAUUUGAGUUAAUUUCUUUAAAAUCUCUGUGAUAAACCAUAUUUUGAGAUAUUCUGUGUGUUCUCUUUUUUAAUCCAAUAUAGGUUGCAUUUCUGUAAAUAAAGACAAACUUUGACUUUUUUUAUCAUGAAGUUUCGUGAAAAAUUAUAUCUUAGAAUAGAAUUUUGAUAUGCACUACUAUUUUAUUCAAAGGUCAAAUCAUAGGGCUAAGCGAUUUAUUGUCAACAUUUAUAUACACCGAACUUGUUAUAGAGUUCAAACUUAUACUAAAAUUGUGUACUACCCCUGCCUUAACUUUUUGCCUACUUCAGAAUUCAUUUUUCACCGCAAUAGCAUGUUUUUAUACUGGUAACGGUCCCAAGUUAUGUCUUUAUUAGAUGGAACAUAGAGAUAAUAUCUGGGAACCAGUAUGUCAACAAAUCAAACUAUCUAUGAAUAUAAUAUAUCUCCCCAAAAGAGGCUUGGUUUGAGAAACAGCUGUAUUUACAAAGUGCAACCUUUAAUAUCUUUUUAAUUGUUCAAUCUUAAUGCUGGUUACUAGUGAUCGAUAGUACAUGACAAAACUAAAUACUAAAAACUGAUAUUCAAGGCUUGAUCACUUUUUUGUAUUUAGUGAAUAUCAAACUGUUGACACCAUCCGCAAAUGCAAAUGAACAACUGUACCUUUUCAGAUGUAAUAGACGAAAUGGCAAGCAGUACAUUUCCAGUUGCUGUAAUUGCAAAAACAGUGCGGCUACCACAUGCCGCCAAUUGCGAGGAAUUCUGGCAAUUGAUGAAUGAUGGUGUUGAUACUGUUAAAGAUUUCCCAGCAUCCCGAGCCAACGACAUUAAACAUGUACUGUCAGCGUAUGGGGACCAGUUACUUGAUACAGAAAAUCCUUUUUUUACUGGAUCGUUCUUUGAAUCAGUGGACAAGUUUGAUUCAGAUAUGUUUCAAGUUAAUUCCAGAGAGGCGCUAUUCAUCGAGCCAGAGCAAAGAAUAUUUCUCGAAACUGUCUGGGAAUUGAUAGAAAAUGCAGGGUACGCAUCAAAAAUAAAAGGCUCGAACACGGGCGUCUAUGUUGGAAACACUGUGAACAAAUAUAAAUUUAUACUUACAGAAAACCAUCCCAGUAUUUCACACGGAAAUCAUUCUCCUUUCAUUUCAUCAAGAGUGUCAUAUACCUUUGAUCUACAUGGGCCUGCCAUGAUGGUAGCCACUGGAUGUUCAUCGUCUCUUUUAGCAGUACAUUUAGCAUGCCAAGCACUUCUAUCAGGCGAUUGUGACAUGGCCAUUGCUGGAGGAAUCACUCUUGAUCUACUUCCUGUUAGUGUCAAAACUGAUAUAUGGAAUCAGCUUGGUAUCACCGGGCAACAUGUUAAGUGUAGAGCUUUUGAUGCUUCUGCAAAAGGCAUCGCUAAAGGGGAAGGGUGUGGGGUUAUUCUGUUGAAACCCUUAAGCAAGGCAAUACAAGAUGGGGAUUACAUAGAGGCAAUCUUAGAGGCAACUACUGCAAAUCAGGAUGGUCAUUCUAACGGUAUUACAGCACCACAUCCAGUGGCACAAUCUGAAAUGCUCGAAAGAGCGUAUGCAUUAGCAAACAUCAACCCGUAUCAAAUAGAUUAUUUCGAAGCACAUGGAACCGGGACAGAAUUAGGUGAUCCGAUCGAGAUAUCUGGCAUUACAAAGGCAUUCACUAAACAUCAACAGGAUCCUUCAGUGGAAUGUAAGAAAAUACCUAUAGGUUCAGUUAAAGCAAAUAUAGGACAUUUGGCAGAUGGAGCAGCUGGUAUAGUUUCCCUGAUUAAAACAAUUAUAUGCAUGCAAAAAUACAGGAUUCCAGCAGCUAUCAAUUAUUCAGAACCGAAUCGUCAUAUUAACUGGUCGAAGUCACCUGUAUAUGUCAAUACAAAUACACUUGAUUGGUUACCAAAACCCGAUCUGUCUGCACGAUUUGCCAGUGUUAGCGCGUUUGGACUCCUAGGAACGAACAUUCAUGCAGUUGUUAAAGAAUACCAUCAUGUUCCACAAACUUUAGACAACGAAAACCCCGUCACGGAUAAAGAAGUCAUGCUGUUUGCAAUGGCAGCAAAAACAAAACAAUCCCUCUCUUUGUUUGUUGAAAAGAUGAAAAAGUAUUUUUUGACAAAUUCAAACAAAAGUACAGAGAAUUUGAUGAAUGCAUGUUACACUAUCAAUACUGGACGAGCACAAAAAAAAAUGUUAGUAAGAGCGGUUGCAUGGGGAACAGAAUGGCAAGAAAUGGAAAACUCUUUAACUGGACUUGAUGCAAUGCUGAAAGUAGAGACUAAUGAUUUGCACGCCAAAGAUCUGACAUUUUCAAUUUUGAAUGAGGAUUUGAAGGAUAAUGCUUGUUUUGAAGAAUUGAAUAAUGCUAACAAGCAAGUUAUAAAUAGUUUUCUGAAAGGUUGUAGUGUGGACUGGACAAUACUGUACUCGCAACCAGGUAGAUUCAAGAAAAUUCCAGACCUACCAACUUAUUGUUUUGAUCGCACAAGAUUCUGGCCAGAAUUAAAGUGUCCUAUCAAUAGUGAACUGUUGACACUUGAACACCAAGCGCUGAACGUCAAAAAAGUAUCGAAAGAAUCCAGUAAAAAUCUUGAACCACAAGAUGACAGCAGUUUACAAUCUGCAGAAACCUUCCUACAAAGUGCUUUAAACAAAGCUUUGAACGUGAAUGUUAACUGGGAUACUGUAUCAGAUAACUUAUAUUCUUUUGGAAUGGACUCUCUUAUGUUUGCGCAAGUAUCUAUGCAGCUGCAAGAGAAAUUUGGUUGUAAAAUAUUGAUGACCGAUUUCCAUGAAGAUCCUUCUUAUAAUGGCCUAAUAAACUUAGUACAGAGAAAUCUAGACAAAACAUGGAUCAAAAGGAUCAGUGAUAACUGCCAUAACUUAAGUUCACUACAUCAUUCUUCUCAUUCCAACGAAUGCCAAGAGAACAAUGAUCUAUGUUAUCCGAUUUCAUUUGCCCAGAGGCGACUUUGGGUAAUGCAACAAAUCACUGCAGAUCAAUGUCUCUAUAAUGCAACAAACUGUAUAAAACUCAGUGGUGAAUUUCAUUCAACAGCCUUUGUGAAAGCUGUUAAUGUAGUUUUAGCCCGCCAUUGUGCAUUUUCGACCAUUUUUGAAGACAGGGGUGAUGGUACUGUUCAGAUUAUAAAAAGAGAUAUGGCUUUUCCAAUACAAGAAAUUAAGUUAGACACUCGGGUACAGGAUCCAGAUAUUGAGGUCAUGGAUUUAUACAAACAAGAUUAUAAAACUCCCUUCGAUCUGACAAAAGGGCCUCUUUUUAGAUGCAAACUUUAUCAUUUGCCAAAUAAUUCCUAUUACUUCACAAUGGUAAUACAUCAUAUUAUUUUUGAUGGUUGGUCACAUUUUAUUUUCUACAAUGAAUUAUGGUCCACAUACAAAAAGAUGUGCGAAGGUGGUGACUACGAUACCUCAAUACAGAAACCGUUGUAUGCCGAAUGGGCUUACGAGGAACAACAAAGUACCAGUCUACCGAAAUCAAAGUUAUCUAAAGAUAUGUCAUACUGGAAACAGAAGCUUGCAGGAGAACUACCACGCACCACAUUUCCAGGAGAUAAAGUAAGACCCAACAUGUUCACAAACAAAGGAAAAAGAAUUACAACUUUUAUUGAUAAUACCAUUGUUGAAAAUGUUCAGUUAGUCCAGAGAAAUCACACUUUAUUUUCAACCCUUCUGUCAUGUGUUUUUGUAUUACUGAAAAUUUAUAGUGGAGAAUCCGAUCUUAUCAUUGGAACACCUGUUGCUGGUCGAAACAAUUCAAAACUAGGAAACGUUAUCGGUUGUUUCAUUAACACAUUAGUCCUUCGAGUUCAGCUUGAAGGUCACCAGUCUUUCGAGGAGAUAGUCCAAAUAGUUUCCAAUACAUUCAUGCAAGCAUACGAUCACAUAGAUGCACCCUUUGACUAUCUUGUGAGCCAAUUAAACUUACCGCGGGACACAAGUGAGACACCAAUAUUCAGCAUUAAUGUCUGUUACCACAAUACAGAAAACAAAUCCGAACACGUCUCGCCGCCUGAAGGACUUCACACAGAGAGAAGACUUUUGCAUAAUGAUACUUCAAAAUGGGAUAUGCAGUUCGACUUUCUCCAGGAAAGAAGUGGUAUGCGAUUUACAUUAGAAUAUUAUAGCGAUGUGUUUUCUGAUGUAUACGCACAGAACAUUGCAAAUAGUUUUUGUCGCUUACUUGAAAGUGUUAGUAAACCAUCUACCAACAUGCUACAGGAAUUAGCGACUGUUAUAUCAUCAGAUUCGCCCAUAGAUCUAACUUACAGUUCGAAGUCAAUUCUUUGUGGUGAAACCGUUAAUCUAGAAAAUCAAACGCUAUCAAAAAAGUUAUUCACUAGCUUUAACAAAAACGAAGAUGAUGUAGCAUGUUUUGAAAAUGAGAUUAGGUACAAGUAUGGUUCUUUAUUAACACAUGCAAAACAAUUGACAGUACUCAUCAGAAAACAUUGUGACAUUCCACAGCGUUCUCGUGUAGGACUUUUGAUAGAUAACAGCUAUUAUGCAAUUUUGGCAAUGAUUAGUUGUAUGAUCAGUGGAUUAACCUAUGUUCCAUUGGACAAGAACAAUGGCAAAAACAAAAAUCAGCAAGUUUGUACUGAGGCAGAAUGUAAAAUAAUCCUCUUUGGUCGUUCACAUUUAUCAAUUGCAAACCAUUUGCAAUGGGCAUGUCAUGCAGUUAAGACCAUAGUAUGCUUAGAUGCCGACAACUUUGCGGGACUUGAUGAAAACCUUGAUUCACCUUUGAUGGAAAAGGAACUAUGGAACUCUGUAGCCGAUGAAGCGAAAAAUGAUAUUGAAGGAGGAGGUUGGAAAAGUUCUUAUACUGGGGAAUACAUGACCGAAAAUGAGAUGAACGAGUAUGCAGAAAAUGUUCGCAUGAAACUGCAAGAUUAUCUCUUCAAAGAUGCGAGAGUAUUGGAAAUUGGUUGUGCAUCAGGAAUAACGACAAAAAAGGUGAGGCCACUUGUAGGAUUCUAUUUAGCGACUGACAUCUCACAAAUUAUGGUCAACAAACUUUCAAAACAAUACAAAGAUGAUUGUAAUUUUCAAGCUAUUUGUGUCUCAGCUCAUGAUGUUCACAAGCUGGUAGAUCAAAAUUUCGAUGUUAUUAUCAUAAAUAGUGUCGUGCAUUGUUUUCCUGGUCAUAACUAUUUCAAGAAAGUAUUUGCGGCAUGCGAAAAUCUACUCAGUGAUAAUGGUGUUAUUUUUAUCGGAGAUAUCAUGGAUUUAGAUCUGCAAACCAAUUUGAUAACAUCUACAAAAUUGUUCAAGGAAAAAAACCCGAAUUUAAGAGUAAAGACCGAAUGGAACGACGAGCUUUUCCUUUCGAAAGACUUUUUGAGCAAUAUUUGCAACAAUUCUGAAAAGAUACAAAGUGUGACAUUUUCUAGAAAAAUAUACACCAUAUCAAACGAACUUACCGAUUUUCGAUUUGACGCAAUAUUUACAAAUGUUUGUAACCAUCAUAACAAGAAGAAUGACGUCAACACAUAUGCUGCAGGAAAUAUUCGUUCUCAGAAUCCAAACGCAUUUGAAGACGAAUGGAUAGAUGGGAUAACAUUUUCUGAUCAGGCGUACAUUUUAUUUACUUCCGGAACAACUGGAACACCAAAAGGAGUCAUCAUUAGUCAUGAAGCUUUACUAAAUUACGUUCUUUGGGCAGCAAAAACAUACAACUUUACGACCGAAUCUACGAUUCCUUUCUUUUCGCCACUAACAUUCGAUUUCACUGUAACAAGCAUUUUCCCACCAUUGCUGAAUGGAAGUAAAAUCAAAAUUUUUCCGAACUUUCAUGACUCGUACGAAGCAAUUGCUUUGUCAAAUGAUCUCACAAUUGCAAAAUUUUCGCCUCUACAGUUAGAGACCAUUUUGGCUACUGCUAGACAAUCAAUCAGCAUAUCAGAUUUCAUUUUAGGAGGUGAAGAAGUUUCUCCGAAACUUCUUUCGGAUUUAAAAUGUAACAUGAGUGGUAAAGAAUUUAAGGUGUGGAAUGAAUAUGGACCAACAGAAGCAACAGUUGGAUGCAUUUUUAAAUGUUUCAAAAGCUCUGAUAUUCCAGUUAACCAGUCGAAUUUUGUAACAAUAGGAAAACCAAUACAAAAUGUGAUUGCUGUUGUUGUGAGAAAAGAUAACCUUCAAGUGCCAAUAGGAGGCAGAGGUACACUCGCUAUCGGAGGUAAAUGUCUUUGUAUAGACUUUACCGGCAUUGGUAUACUCAAACAAACACAGGUUAAAGAAUCUUUCGUUUCGGCUGAUUUCGGAAGACCCGGGGAAGUAAUGUUACUAACAGACGACAUUGUUGAAUGUCUUCCAAUGUCUGGAGAUUUGGCGUACUUCGGUCGGGAAAGCAACAGGACAUUAAAAAUCAAGGGAUUCAGGGUCGAUUUAUUAGAAGUGCAACACUCCAUAGAAAAUGAGCCUCUUGUUAACAAAGUAUGGGUAUGUUCAUUUUUAUACAAACGUCAACAUUACCUUGGAGCAGCAAUUUUGUAUAAGCAACUUACGCAUGAAUCUCAUCGAUCAUGGGUUAGUAAAGCUAAAUCAUCACUGAGGAGUUGUCUUCCAAUUCAUGCUAUUCCAAAUGUCUUUAUCCAAGUUAGCAAAGCCCCUCUGAAUGCGAACGGGAAAAUAAAUACUCCUUUAAUUCAGAGGCUCUGUAUUGAUGAGCUACAGUCAACCAUCGAGAGACAUGAUAUCUGUGAAACUAACCCCCAUGAAUCUGAGAUAGAAAGACAGAUGAAAGAAAUUUGGCAAAGUGUACUUCCAAUUAAUCUUUCCUUUUCACAAGAAACGGAAAGUUAUUGUGAAGACCAUAGGAUUUUCAAGCCUACACCUAUAGUGCAUAGCUAUAUAUCGGGAUAUCGUAUGAACCAUGAUUUGUUUUCAAUGCCAGCCUUAUUGCGAUUUGAUAAUCCAAUAAGCAUUAACAUUUUACGGUUAGCUCUACGAUGCAUCAUGAUGAAACAUGGAUCACUACGAUCUAGAUUCUACACAAACAAUAAUGUUACCUUACAGGAAAUUCUUCCACUGGGAGAAGAUCAACCGAGAAUCGAAAAGAUUGAAAUGAACCAAAAUAAUACCAGUAUGUGGAAUGAACCUACCUUCAUUGAACUUUCUGAAAGAUUAGAGAAAAGUCAUUCUCUAGCGGAUGGUAUUCUGUUAAAUGCAGGCAUAAUUGACAUAGCAAAGCCAUCAGGAAAAACAGAACACUUUUGUCUUGUGGUAAUACAUCACAUUGCAAUAGAUAUAGUGUCAUGGCAGCAAGUUUUAGAAGAUUUAGCAGACGCCUUUAAUCGUCUAAGUAAUAACCCAACUAACCCACCAGCUCUAAAAAGAUGUGUUUUACCAUUUGAAAAGUUUUGCACUUCCUUUCAUAAUCAAAGUAUAGAAAUUGCAGAAUCAGAGGUGUUGUAUUGGAAAGAAAUUGGAGUAAAAUGUCAGAAAACUGGUCAGCUUAAACCGAACAACAAGUCAAACAACUUUUUAACAGCAAAAUGGAUAGAGUUCAUGGUUGAAUCAAAAGAUGUCAGAUCUUUGGCAAUUUCAAGUGGAUGCUCCGAACAAAACAUUUUGUUAACAGCAAUUGGACGGAGUAUGUGUAAAUUGCAUGGAAACAAUAGAUCAUCGCUUUGUAUGGAAAGUCAUGGAAGAAAUCUUAAAGAUGUUGAUUCUACAGACACUGUCGGUUGGUGCACAAGCAAAUAUCCCAUAGUUUUAGACACACCAUUAAAGGAACAAAUUCAUACGCAAAUGAGAAAUAUUUCGGAUUAUAUGAAUAAUAUUCCAAACAGAGGGAUAGGAUUUGACAUGCUGAAGUCAAGAGGACAUAUAUCUUUAUCGUAUCCAAACAUAAUGUUUGUGUACCAAGGGUCACUGGAUGCUUCAACAAAGCAAGUUUUUGAUGGAGGAAAGUACAAGUUCGAGCACAUUCCUUGGCUUGAGGUAAUGAAAACACAUCUGCUUGAUGGACGAUUUCACCGGCAACUAGAUGAAGUUAUGGAAUUUGAUUUAGAAAUUAUAUCAUGGAUGCACGGAGGAUAUUUGACCGUUGGAUUCCUUUUCGAUUCAUCUGCAUUAAGCUCAUCUCUUGUUGAUAGCCUUAUGCAACAUAUGCAGGACGAAUUAAAGACAAUGAAUGAUGAAAUAAUUACUGAAUCACAGGAAACAUGUGUUCAGGUAAGAAAACCAUACAUUAAUGACAGAACUGUUCAAAGUGGUAAAGUGGAAAUAAUAUCAGCAAUCAAUAUAGAUCCAAGCUGCAAACAUUUGAUUUUAGAAGCUUUGAAAUAUUGCAAUUUACGUCUUGAUGAGUUGAUUAUUCAUCAACAAGAGAACUUCAUGCAGUCGCUUUUAAGACACAAAAAUGCUCCAUCAACAAUAUUAGUGGUUAUCCCACGUCAUAAAAAUGAGAUUGAGCGGGAUCAAUUUAGCCUCCUAUGCAAUGAUUUAAAAGCUGUUCACAAAAUUAUUGUAGUAAACACAGACAACGUUUUUAAUAAAAGCAAACAUUCAUACCAGUUGUCACAGGGUAUCAAAGAGAUCAUUCUGCCAGAGGAAUUUACAACCAUAUUUUAUGACAGCGAAUCAGAUAUAAGAUAUGGUAUGCCAUUCACUCAGGAAGGAUAUAGACACUUUGCAUUACUUAUUGCUAGAGCUAUUCAUAGCCUUAUCUUCAAACGAAAACAUAAGGUUAUUGUUGUUGAUGCAGAUUAUACAUUAUGGCAUGGUGAGUGUGCCCAGGAAAGGGUUCAAUCAAACACAAGAAAUUUGUGUUUACAGCAGUUCUUACUUGAACAAAAGAAAUAUGGAAUGGUUUUGGCUGUUAUUAGUAAAAAUUAUCACAAGGACAUCGAACGUGCUUUUCAAAACUUGGAGUCGGAUUGGUCUCUAAGACUGAACGAUUUUGUAUCAAUUCAAGCAAAUUGGGAUUCAAAAGUACAAAAUAUUAGGCAUCUUGCCACCUUGUUGAAUCUUGGACUUGACUCCUUUAUUUUCAUAGAUGACAACAGUCUUGAAUGCGAGGAAAUGAUAUUGUCUUGUCCGGAAGUACUGACACUUAAGUUCCCAAAUGACGAAAAGCUUGUUGCUGCUUACCUACAAAAUUUCUGGUUUUUGGACGGUCAUGACAAUACCAUCGAUACAGCAGAUAGAACAGAUAUGUACACACAAGAAUUUAAGAGACAACACGCUAUUUCAAAAGUAGACAUAAAGUCGAAAUCAAGCAGUGAGAUGAUGACCGAGCUACUUCUCUCUUGGAAAAUGAAACUGUGUAUAAUGAAAACAACCAAGAAAGAUUUAUUACAAAAUGCAGGACUUUAUUCCAGAUGUAAUGAGUUACUUUUCCGGACUAAUCAGUUUAAGUUGAACAACAUACAUAUAUCUUUAGACGACAAAUGUGAUGAAACACAAAUCUGGGUGAUUUCGCUGACCGAUAAUUUUGGAUCAUACGGCGCAAUAAGCAUUUGCAUUAUCGACAAAAUUUCAGACUAUGAUGCUAUUGUUAAACAGUGGGUUGUUAGUUGCAGAGCUCUAGGGCGCUUUGUUGAGCACAGGAUAAUUGAUGAACUGGGAAAACAAACUAACAAGAAGAAUGCAGUUACGAUGGCAUUGCAAAGCACAGGUCGAAAUAUACCUAUUUUGAAUUUUCUCUCAGGUUUUGGUAUUGAAAACGUCUCAGAAGAGGUUAAAAGAAUAAAGAUAACUCUUAAUCAACCUGAUUUUGACGGUUAUUGUGAGAACCUUCACGUUAUGGUCAUUACAGAUGAUAUAAAUAAUGAUUCUUUUAGAAAUAACCAUACUCCUGAAAACAAAGAACAUCAUAGAAAUAUAUCUUCACUUCAAGGAAGUACGCUUACCGAUGUUCAGAAGUGGAUAGCCAAUACUUGGACACGUUUACAACAGGAACAUACUUUACAACACAACUUGUUUCCCAUUAUACCAUUUGAAACAUCAAACAUAUGUGCAGCGUUUUCCCCAGUCCUUCAGAAAAACACGGAAGAUCUCCAAGAACUUGUUAAACAAAGUUGGAUGGAAGUCUUAUGCACACAUCAACCCCCAGCCGAAAGUGACGAUUUUCUGCAAGCUGGUGGAACAUCAUUUUUAGCUGUAUUUUUAGUAUCAAAGUUAAGACGAGAAGGUAAUACUGAAAUUAGUAUCAUUGAUAUACUAAAACAUCCAAUAUACAAACAAUUUGUAAAUAUAGUUUUAAAUGCACCAAAAUUGCACGACAUUCAAGUACAAAAUACAGAAAGCUGUUAUUUGUCUACUGCACAGAAAAGGAUGCUCAUUAUGCAGGAAUAUUCUCCCAAUUCUACGGCUUAUGUGGAAACAAUUGCGAUGAAAACAAGAAAAGGCAUCAAUAUCGACGACGUGUUUAAGAACAUCUUAUCACUACACCCAGAGUUAAAAACAGAAAUUCGAUUGGUCAAAAACAACAGAGAAUACACAAGGUGUAUUGAUUCCAAACGUGAACAUAAAGUCAUCUAUGAAACUGUAAAACAGAAUAAUGACAUUGCAAAAUACAUUUCAGAUACAAUACCAAAAAUGGAAGUCAUAUCUUCUUCUUUAAUCAGGUGUCGAUACUUGCAAACACAAACCUCAGAUUGUUUAGUUUUUCAUGUACAUCAUAUUGUUUCUGAUGAGAUAACUUUACGAUGUCUAAAACAUGAUUUGAAAAAAAUACUGAAUGGUGAAGACGCCGACAAAUGUUCGAAAUCAUUAUCGUAUUCGACAUAUGUUUCCGCGGAAGAGCAAUAUUUGAAAAGUAGGGAAUGCUUAUCUGAUGAGUCAUUUUGGAAAGAUCAGUUUGAAACGCUACCACCAGAAGUAAAUUUGUCACUAUUGCCAAUGUCAGAAUCAAUCUGGAACGAAACUAUUCCAUACAAAGCAAAACAUUUACACAGUUAUAUAACAAAUAGCAGUAAAACUCGCAUUUCAAAAAUUACUAAAGAUUUGGGAACCACCGAAUUCGUAUACUAUUUCGCCUGCACAUCAAUUGUACUACAACGAUAUCUUGGUGUUGAUGAUAUGACGUUUGUGGUGCCUGUUACACUACGAGACGACUUGCACCAAUCAACGGAUGGAUUGUUUGUCAAUACUUUGCUCUGUCGGGUAAAUUUUAACCCAUCAUUAACAUGGCGACAAUAUAUUGCACAUGUUGAAGAAGUCUUACUGUUAGCACAAAAGUCUCGUGCAUACCCAUUAGAUAAAUUAGCACAAAUGUUAUGGACAACUCACAAGAAAAGCAUUAGUUCAUUCUGUUCUCUAAUGUUCAAUUACAGCAGAACCAACACUGAGAAAGACGAGAUUAGGGUAUACUCUAAACAUGCAAAGAUGUCGUUAAGUAUAGAUAUAAUUGUUGACGAAAGGAACAAACAGACAUCAGUUUUGUUUGAAUGGGCAGAAGAUGUGUUAGACAGCACUAUAGUUGAGCGAAUAAGUAACAGUUUGACUGAACUUUGUUCCAGGGAUACACCAUUGGAUCAACAACUAAAAGUCAUGGACAUUUUAUCGUCAUCAGAGAUACAAUUGCUGCAGAUGUUCUCUGUAAACGAAAUUCCGAACGACAGUCAAGUGUUUACGGAUAAGAAAAUGCAUAUACAGUUUGAAAUGAACACAGAAAAACAUCCAGAUAAUACAGCUGUCGUUUGCGAUGAGGACGUUAUCUCAUAUCAAAAUCUAAAUAAGAUGGCAUCACAAAUCGCAGAGGGUAUUUGUACAGAAAUAAAUGCGGACAUUUUGGAGUCAAAUCCUGUGUUAUUGUUUACAAAGAAGGACAUAUAUUCUGUUGCAAUGAUAUUGGGCGUUUGGAAAUCCGGUGGACACUUUCUUCCAGUUUCUAUAUCAAACCAGAAAGUUUUAAAAGAUAUAAGUUCGCGAAUUACACCAGCAGCAAUUAUUUAUCACUGUACCGAUGAAGAUUAUAAAACAGUGAUAGAAGCGUCCUUCACCUGUCCAGUUAUGAAUGUUGAAACUCUUAUUGAAAAUACAUACAACCGCUUCCUCUGGAGUCAGGAAGCAUCAAGAAAAUCAGACAUUGUAGCAUAUGCCAUUCAAACGUCUGGAUCUACAGGUGUACCAAAGAUGUGCAAAAUUUCCCAUUGCAACCUCAAUGUUGUUUCCCAUGCUUGGAAGACUGUGUAUAAUAUGGAUAAAUAUGAGGUAAAUGUUUUUCAAUGGGCACCAGUGUCAUUUGACGUGUUUGUUGGAGAUCUCGUGCGUUCAUUGAUUUGCAUGCCUGGCAAACUUGUUCUUUGUCCAGACGAACGACGAUUGGACGUUUCUUACAUUCAACAUCAGAUAAAAUACCAUAAUAUAACUUUCAUAGAAGUGACACCGCAUUUUGCAUCACAUUUGAUAGAAGACAGUAAUGCUUCCGAUUUCGAAAGUUUAAAAAUUUUAGUUCUGGGGUCGGAUGCUACACACAGUCACAUAUUUGAAAAUAUAAAAGGAAUCUUGAGACCGGAUCAGCGUGUUAUUAAUAGUUAUGGAAUGACGGAAGCUACUAUUGAUUCUACAUAUUUUGACAGUGAUAAUGUACAUUGUACAAGGAGUGGCACAGUUCCGAUUGGAAAGCCAUUACCAGGAGUAUCACUUCAUGUCCUAAAUACAAACACUUUACUUCCAUCUCCUAUAGGAACUAUUGGUGAACUCUAUAUUAGCGGAAACGUCCUUGCGUCUGGUGAUACUGAAAUUGUUGAAAUUGGAAAAGAGAAAUAUGCAUUAAAAACCGGAGAUAUUUGUUGCUGGUUACCGUCUGGGAAUCUAGAGCUAUAUGGUAGGUCAGACGACGUGGUGAAGUUGAGAGGAUUUCGCAUAAGCACUUUAGAAAUUGAAAAACGAAUUAUUCUCAAAAUAAAAGACAUCAAAGAAGCAUGUGUUUCCGUUUUAAUUGAUAACAAAUCAAGUAACACUCAGUACCUAUGUGCAUUUGUUGAGAUGUAUCCAAAUCAUUCAGUAGAUAUGAACGUUAAUAAGAUAAAGCAAAUACUUUCCAGUGAGUUACCUUACUACAUGGUUCCUGAUUUAGUUCACUUUUUGAAAAAACUUCCAAUUACAAAACAUGGCAAAAUUGACAGGAAAAGUCUGCCAUCUUUAUCAAACAUGAAUGCCUUAAAAUGUAAGAGAAUAACAUGUGAACAUGAUGGAAAAGAUUCGGACACUGCUAAUGUUUUGAAAGCCUUAUUCGCAAGAGCAAUGGAUAUAACAGAUAUAAAUGUUAUAGAUGUUAAUCUGACAUUCAUGGAGAAUGGAGGUCAUUCUUUAACAUUAGUUCGAUUUUGUUCUCUUAUUAAAAAGGAGACAAAAUUCAAAAUAGGAAUUGCUGAUUUAUUUUCGUAUCCAUCUAUCUUGACUUUGGCUAACCAAAUUGAAGGCAAACAAAUAUUGGAAUCAGAAAACAAAGUAGCAAAUGAUGAUUGUUCAACAGAUUCUGAAGAUAUAGUAAUAACUGGAUUGGGACUCCGUCUACCUGGUGGCAUUAUGUCUUUACCGCAGUUAUGGGAGGAACUUAAGAAUGGAGAAGACCUAGUGCAACAAUUUCCGCAAGAAAGGAUUUCAGAUUUUAAAGACUGUUCUAAAUCUAUUCCAACCACAGAUACAUAUCGAGGGUCCUUUUUAGAUCGAAUAGAUCAAUUCGAUAACGAUUUUUUCCAUAUUCCUCCUGGUGAAGCAAAGUUCAUGUCUCCAGAACAAAGACUGUUACUGCAAGUAGCAACAGAGGCCUUACUCGAAGGAGAAAACAUCAGUAAUGUAAAUGGGGCUAAUAUUGGUGUUUUUCUCAGUACUAUUGAUAUUGGAUAUUCACAGCUUAAUUAUCCAGAUGAAGCAAUCUGCGUAUCAGGUCUUUUACCAGGAAUGGUUGCUACACGUAUUGUGUACCAGUGGAAUUUAAAAGGACCAAGUAUGCUUGUCGAUACAGCUUGUUCAUCUUCAUUAAUGGCAUUAAAACAUGCAUGUCAAGCUAUUAAAAAGAACGAAUGUGACGGGGCGUUAGUAGGAGGUGCUAAUCUUGUGAUUUAUCCAGGAAGAACCGGCGUCUUUGGAAAUGCAGGAAUUCUUUCACCAGAUUUUACCUGUCGACCUUUUGAUGAAAAUGCAAACGGAACUGUCGUUGGUGAAGGUGUUUUAUGUUUAUAUGUGGGAAGAUUAAGUUCAGCAAUAAAGCAAGGCAAACAUAUCUAUGGUAUUGUUAACAGUGUUGCAUCAAACAGUGUUGGACACGGGAACGGAAUCACAGCUCCGUCUUCGACCUCACAGACUGAUGUCAUACAUAAAGCACUCCUGGCUGCCGGUAUAAAAGCCGCAGAUAUUGGUUAUAUUGAAACACAUGGCACAGGCACAAAGCUAGGGGAUAAAGUAGAAAUAUCAGCUUUAUCAUCAAUAUUUAAAGAGAACGUAGCUAUUGGUACAUCAAAGAGUAUGUUUGGACAUUUAGACACGACAGCUGGGUUACUUGGACUAGUGAAGGUGUUGGCAACAUUUAUGUUCAAUAAGAUACCACCAUCUGCAAAUUUUAGAAUUCCGAAUCCAGAACUGAGAGAAUCCGCUUUGUCUGUUGUAACCGAAAUUCAAGAUUGGGAAUGUAACAGUUCGGGAAAACAAGUUGCUGGUAUUAGCGCAUUUGGCUUAACUGGGACGAACUGCCAUGCAAUAAUUUCAAACCAUGAUGCAAAAAGUAUUAAAAAAGUGAGAAAACAGCAAAGCUUCCCGCUGUUUUUCCGAGGCAAGUCCUUCCAUCAUAUACAAAAACAAGCCUGGCUGUAUGAUUGCCUUAUCAAAGAAACAAUGCAAAAGGCAUCUCUGAAUUCCCUCGAAGGUAUGUGUUUAGUAGUUGCCAAGAGGUUUCACCAAAUGUGUAUGGCGAAUGUUGGUCACGGUCAAUUUCGUUUAGCAAUUGAUGUAAAAACACCACCACAAGCAAUACGCUUAUUGUCUAUUGUACAAUCGACAUCGAAAGCGGAAGAUUUUAUACAGAUUUGUAAAAUCCGCAGCGACAUGCACGUUUCAUUUCCUGGCACAUGCAUAGUAAAUUCGGAGAUAAACUACUUUAGAUCCUUUAUACAUGACAAUCAGAUUGACAUUUCCGAUAUUUUUGAAGAAGAGAUUAAUAAUGUGUGCCCAGCAUUUGGUGUAACAUUGGCUUUGUUUGAAGAAAAUCGACAUUGGCUGGAUCGAAAAACCAGACUUGUACAAAUCGAAAACCUGUAUGAUCUGUUGGACAGAAAGGUAUCAGAAAGCAAGGAAAUUAUAAGGUCUUUACCAUUAAUGGCCACAGACGACCUAGCAUACCUUCAAGGCAGAUUUUGUUCAUCUGUUAUUAUAAAACUUCUACGUACUACAAACCUAUCCACUCAUGUACUUAAUAACAGAAGCAUAUCUCUGAAAGAAUCGUUCGAAAUCACAGGCAUGCUAGAACAGUACGAUAAAUUAUUUUUUGUUAUGAUAAGGGAGCUUUUAAACAACGGAUUUGUAAGAGCAACGGGAAAAGACGAAACAGUAUUGAAAUUGGAUUCAUAUUUUUUUAACUGCAGUGAUAUACUUGAUGUUGAUCCAACAAACGUAGCUGAUCAUGCCAUGAAAAAAUACCCUGUUUGGGCAGACUGUUUUCGAUUUCCGUUAUAUUGUUCACAACACUUGCGUAGUGUUUUAUGGGGAAACAUGAGCCCAUUGUCAGUAAUUUAUCCCCAAGGCGAUUUAAAUUUUAUGUUCCGAUUUGAUAAACUUGGCGAUCCACUUGGAGACGUUUACUACAAUACAUAUAUGCAGACGAUAGCAUCGUACGCUGACCAACUUACUGGAAGAGAGAAGAAAAUAAGAAUAUUAGAAGUAGGUGCCGGUAUGGGACAUGUAACAAGACAGCUUCUUCCAAAGUUUACAGACAUAGGAAACAUUGAAUAUUGGUUCACCGACCUCGGAAAAGCUUUCGUUGAAAAUGCAAAGAAUACAUUUGAAAUAUAUUCGCACUCUAUGAAAUUUUGUACAUUUGAUAUAACAAAAUCUGCUCUAGAACAAGGCGUUAUCGGUACGUUCGACAUUGUGAUUUCCUACAAUGUUAUUCACACAACUGACAGUAUCAAAACUUCUAUUGUGAAUUUGAAGUCAUGUUUAGGGGAAGACGGUACCUUGUUCAUAAUUGAAAGUGCAAAGAACGAAACAUGGGCAACAUUAGCCUGGGGUGUACUAGAUGGAUGGUGGUUUUUCAAAGACUAUGAUCUUAGACCGUUUGAGCCUAUGAUGGAACCUGAGAAAUGGGAACACAUUCUGUCUGGUAUGUAUUAUUUUUUGUUUAAUUCUAUGAAAAUAUGAAAAAUUGAUGUACAAUUAUAAUGAUAUAAGCUUCGAUCAGCUAUUUCACACGGUCUGACAAAGGAUUCACGAAUAUUUUGUCACUAAUAUAACACUUUGGUGUGUGUAUUUAAUCAACGAUGCAAUAAAUCAAUAUUUUUGAUUUUGAACAAAACUAUAUUUUUGAAUCCAUAUAAAAUAGAAACUUGUACGAGAGUCUUACAAGAGCGUUCAGCAACUUAAAUGUUUGUCGUUUGAACUCUGGUUGUCCCAUUGUCAAACACAUCGUUGAUUGAUGUCCAUGUUUAGUGUUUAUAUGUCCGUUCGGGGCUCAUAGUCAUUAUUGUUUAUGGAUUUGUUUUUUUUAUUUUAAUGAUUAAUUGUAAAAAGAAAUAAGACAAUUAUAUUUUUUUUUUAAAAGAGGCAAAAGAAACCAAAAGAAAAUUCAAAUUCAAAAGUCUAAUCUAUCUGGCAAUGUUAGGUUUAUAAACAAAGCGAAAAACGACAAAUAGACCUACAAUGGUACACAGAACACAAUAUAUACAGACUGAACAACACGAACCCAACAAUUGCUUUGGUGGAUAAGCCCGAUAGCGUGACUUUAAUGCAUUCGACAGUCUCGUACAUAUUUUUGUUUUUCUUUUUGAAUAAUAGGAAUAUUUGAAGAAAAAAUGUUUACCUUCCAUGUUUGAAUUGAAUGGAAACUACGUAUACUUAAACUAUCAAAAUAUUCCAUAUCAAGUGUGGAAUGGUUAUCGAUUGUAUUCAUCCCUCGUUUUCUUGUGUAAAAUGUAUUUUAUAAUUGGAUACUGCUUGAUGAAUACACUCCUUAUAGAUUUUAAGUUAAUUCAUUCAUCCAUUUUACAAAAGGUUUUAUCGAAAGUCAAAUAAAUGAUCGAUGCACAUUCAAGGCUUGUUGAAACGUAUCUUGUUGAUGAAAAGUAAAUAUUGUUGAAAGGCAAAUUAUGUUGUUCCUUUUUAUUUGCUAUGGGGAAUUCAGUAUUUAGGGAAUCUAUUCAUAAAUACCACAUUAUACCAACAAUUAUAAUUAAUGCGUCAUACACAAGUAGAACAGAACGUUAUUAAAUAUUAACGCUCAUUUGGGUGUUAUAUACCAUUUAAAAGAAAUCGCAAAGGCUAAAAAUGAAAUAUAUGAAAUAUACAAUAGAAUAUAUUAUACAUCAGAAUUCCUAGGAAUAUUGGUUUAAAAUUAUGUUUAUAACUAAAUAAAUUGUACGUUUCGAAAAAUAAAUGUUUUAUUCUUUAAAAGCAUAUGAAAAGAGUAUGAAAUACUUCUAGAUAUGUAAGCUCUGACAGCACAUUAUUUUGUAGAUAUUGGAUUCGCAUCUAUUGUAUCUUGUCCAUUUGACGAAGAAGACCGAAAUGAAGUAGAAAAAUUUUUGUUUGUUUGUUGUGUCAAACCAUUGAAUGUAUCCGAGUCUCGCAGAGCACGUUGGUGGGAAAAUAUUGAUACAGAUUUUGAGAAUAAAAUAGAAUUAGAAGAUGACGCUGACAUUGACUUAACUGAUACCAAUUUGUCUACAGAACAGAUUGUGCAAAACGAAUUAAAACAGAUUUGGUCUGAACUGUUAGGAGUACAAGAUAUAAAUCCUGAGGAUGAUUUUAAUUCCCUUGGUGGUGAAUCGUUAAUUGCAGUUCAAAUGAUGACACUCGUUCGGAAACGCAUAGGCUACCAAUUGGAGAUAGCUGAUACGUUUGGAUACCCAAGUUUAGCUGCUUUAGCCAAUUUUAUUUUCUGUAAUCUAAAACCAAAAUUAGGCAAAAGUCUCGAUAAUGAUGUUGUUACUGAACGUGGAAAAGAUAAUGUUUUGCAAACAGAUUCAUGUUCCUUUAAAGAAAAUAAGUCAAGCAAAAUGCUGAUGUUUCCAGGUCAAGGGUCACAAAAAGUCGGAAUGUGUCGUUCAAUGAAGGAUAGUGCUGAAGCAAGAUAUGUUUUCAACAGAGCAGGGAAAAUUCUUGGUUAUAACAUUCUUGACGUUUGUCUUCAAAAUGAUGAAGAAUUGAGCGAGAGGCUGAAAUCAACUGCGUUCGUGCAGGUUGCCCUAUUUGUAGGAUGUUUGGCUAAAAUAGAGCAGAUUAAGAUAGAAAAUCCACACAUUUUAACAAAUAUCAACUGUGUAGCUGGUCUUAGCGUUGGGGAGUUUUGUGCGCUUGUAUACGCCGGUGUUUUAAAGUUUGAAGAUGCCCUUAAAAUUGUAAGGAAACGAGGACAAGCAAUGGAAGAGGAAGCGAAUAGAUCAUCAACGUCCAUGGCUAGUAUUUACGGUCCUCGCAUGGAUCAGCUUCAACAUUACUUGAAGAUCAAUUUUAAAUCGUUAGAAAUAUCCACAUAUUUAGGGGAUAAUCAACACACAGUUGCCGGGGCAAAUGAUGACAUAGAUUCUUUUGUUGAUUAUUUGAAAUCAAAAGAUAAAGAAAGUAUGAAUGUUAUUGACGUUCGGAAAUUACGUGUUGCAGGAGCUUUCCAUUCGAUGUACAUGAAGAAAGCGACUGUUGUUGUUGACCCAUUAAUAGAUUCAGUUGAAUUUCAAAAACCUCGCACACCUGUUCUUAUGAAUGUUACUGGGAGUUUUUCAGAAGAUACUAAUGAUAUAAAAGAACAACUUAAAAAACAACUAGUUGAACCUGUACAGUGGAGAAAAACGAUAGUAUCUGCUUAUGAAAGUAAUGUUAAACAAUUUAUGGAGGUAUCUCCAUCUAGAGUUUUAACAUCUAUUGUGCAAAAAAGAAUUACCGAUUGUGAAGGAUGUCUCACAGAUUUUGUAGAAGUAUAGGCAGAUUGAAUUAAAUACUAUCAAAUUACUAUCAUUUUUUUGUUUGAUUAGAUUAGUUGUAACAAAUACGAUGUUCAGUUGCUAAUGUAUGAUACUUUUUUACACAUGAUAAAAACAUGACUUGUUAAUUGCUAUUCAGCGUUUUUUUUUUUUUUCAAAAAAUGUUCUCUUGAAAUUUAUACAUUUAAAUAUAUAAAGUCAAGGGGUUAUAGUGUUUAGUAUUUACAGAAUAUAAAUGAAAUGAAGUUCGAUUUGAUGGGUCUAGUUUGUCUUGCAAAAUAUUGCGUUCAUUUGUAAUUGCAUUGUAAAUAUUGUAUCUGUCCAUGCUGAAUAGUAUUGUUAAGCAAUUUAUAUAUGUAUAUAUACAUGAUUAUCAAGUAUUUGUUUGAAUCACAUUUUGUACACAUACUUAUAUUUAUUGUAUCAUUAAAGCAUUUGAAUUCAGUUAAUUACCAUCCGUUUGUAUAUAUGUGUGUGGAGUUUUUUUUUGAAUGAUAUGAAUGCACAAUGUCAGUUGUCUCACUGUUGAUAGUGGCUUUGUAUGUCAUGUAUUAUAAAUGUCCGUCUUAAUGUUUUAGCUGUUAUAUAUUUAAGACAGGAUGCUUAUGAUAUAAUAUCAACUGUUAUAAAUAUGAUACUAUAAUUAAUAUUUGUUAUUCUAAAUUUCUUAAUUUUUGUAAAUAAUAUAGGGAAUAACACCUACAUGUAGUUGAAUUAAUUGACUUGUUCAUCAAUUUAUAAUUGAAAUUAUUUAACAUGAUUGUGUUGUUUUCUUAUAAGUUAUAACCAAUUUUUGUGGAGUGAUGAAAACUUCAAUGUUCGUGGAUAUUUAAAUUCGUUGAUAUGGCAAAUUCUGCAUACAUUCCUUUUGAAAAUGUGUAUUUCGUUAGACAUUUAAAUUCGUGUUUCCCCUGUACCCACGACAUCCACGAAAAUUGAUAUCCAAUGCAUAAUCCACAGUAUACCUUUUAAGUUUUUGAAUUAUAUCAAGAUAGUUUCUCAAUGCCAAUUUUAUGUAAAUUUGUUAAUGUAUUUAAAAAUAAAAAGAUUACUCUAUUUGUUAAUUGGAGAGCAUAUUGUGUAGAUAAAUUGCUGUAAUAGUGAAGGAAGGUUUCAUGUUGUUAAAUAUGACAUUAAAAAGAUGUUUAACAUGUCCAAUUAAAAUUUUUCAAUUUUGCAUUUGCUAUUUUAAAUUUGCCUAGCUCUGUUCUGUUGUACAUGCUUAUCAAGUUAUCAUUUAAAUAAUAAAACAAAUCAUAUAAUCCAUGAUGUAUAAUGUGUAUUAAUGCUUUUGCACCAAAAUUCAUAUGAUAAAUUAUUGUACAAGUUAUAAGUAAAUUUUUGUCCAUUUUUGUACAAAUUGUAAUUUGUACAAGCACUUUUUGUACAAAUUACAAUUUGUACAAAGUCAAAAUACAAAUUACAAUUUGUACAAAGUCAAAAUACAAAUUAUAAUUCGUACAAUAUUUUUGUACAAAUUAUAAUUUGUACAAAAUGAUAACUUGUACACAACAUAUACAGCACGAUGGUCAUUUCACAUGCAAGUACUAGAAACUCGAACUUAAGAUAUAACACAAAGACAAUAAUGAUCAGUUGUAUUUCAAUUUGAUUCUUCUUUUUUUUAAAUCAAGUAGCAUUAAUGUAGAGAUGUUUAGAACAAAUUAUAUAUCACCAAAUAGUCCUUUUUCAUACAAAAUAAAUAGUCAGUUUGAUUUUUUUUUCACAUAAAUAUUUAGUUUUUCUUUUUAAUUUGUAUUCUCUCGCAAUUGAACUAUACAAUAAAUCAAAACACAUGAAAUAAUUUGCAGCAGAAACACUCUAAAUUUUCUUAGAUUAAUAUGUUUAUUGUAAAAAAAUGUUAAAUGCAUUUGAUUCAAAUAAUUUGACAUUGCAUCUCUGCAUUGUAACAAUAAUAACUUCCAUGACUUUGAUUAGUAUGCAAUAUGUUUAUUUCAAAAGAUUUGAACAAAACAUAAAAAUUUGAUCAUCAAUACCAUUUCUCUAAAAGAUAUAUUUUUUAUAAAAUCAUAUCGUCGUGCUAUUGAAUGUUUCAGAUAAAUGAUAAGUUCAUUUAGAUUAUAUAUUUUUUUUAUUUUUGGGUGUUUUGUUUUUCUUCUUCAUCUGUUUUUAAAUUUAUAAAUAUAUAUUCAUAUGUGUGUUUGAGUGUUUGUGUGCAAUUUCUGUGGAUAUGUGUUACCAAUAUGACGUAUUGUCAGAACUUUUAUAUAGCCUUUUCAUUUAUGUUUCAUAUUAUUAAGUGUUGUUAUCAUUUAUACACGCUUAAAGAACUACAAAUAUGAGUAACGAUAUUGAUAUUUGAAGUGGUGAAAUAUUUGCAUCUUUUUUUUAAAGAUAUAAUGUCAUCCUUUAAGUAAUCACUUAUUUAAUCAAAACACCACUUAAAAAUGUGAAGAUAAAACACACGUCUAGUGUACUUAAUCAUAAGCCUUAUGUCUUUAAUGGUAGUUCUUUUUAGUCGCUGCAAACAACUUUACAAUUGCUCUGAUUUAAUAUAUUUCGUUAUAGUUUUAGUGUUCUAUGUAAUUAACAACUUAUGUACUGAUAAACAUUAAUCAAAAUUUGUCCAUUAUAGUGUUGAUGUAAACUUUUUAACAGACUGAUGAAUAAAUUAAUUAUGAACCGCCGUCUUCGUCAGAAAGGUCGAUGACGUUUUUUGAGUCGUAACAAAAUAGUUUUACAACUGAAUACUGCAGUACUUAAUGAUAUACUUAGGUCAAGUUUAGCAAUUUUUGUCAGAUAUUCGGACUAAUUUGAUUUUCUGCCAUGAAACAGGAUUAAAUAUUUACCUCAUAAAACCCAUUUUUCCUUGUGUACAAGACAUUUAUAGCUCAUAAAAGUUCAUUUACUAAGACUUCAGCAGAUUAAGAUUUAUUUAUUUCGAUUUGAGACCCGAAUAAUACUAAUGCAAAUAUAAGGUUACAGUCCGAGUCAGUCUUUUCCCACCAUUUGAAAAAAAAUCUCGAAAAGGAGCUCUUUAAACUAAUAAUAUAUUUAGCUUAACUUAUUUCUUAUGCCCUCCUGACUUAUAGUAUCAAUUCUAAAUUCUACAUAUUUUUCAAUUUCACCUCAGUUCAUUCUUUAAUUAUACUGAAACAAGAAAUAAAAAUUUCGAUUUUUGUUUUCCUUUUAACCAUAUAAUAGUACAAAAACCUCUGCAUUCUUAAAUGAUAACAUAUAUAUAUAUAUAUAUUAUAUUAACUAUACUUUUUCACUUUUUUGGUCUUUUGGAAAAUGUUGUUUGUGCUGUAUUUAGACCCUUCUACAACGAAUUUGUUUUACAUGCACACGUAUACAAAUUGCGGUUUUUAUCCAACGCAAUCAUAGGUUUGAACGUAGUUUUCAAUUUAGACUCGUUUAUAUAUAUUUAUAUAUAUAUAUAUAUCUAUAAACAGUGACUUAAGUAUAUUUAUGUUUAAUAGGAAAAUAUACCGCAUUUUUUAAUGUGUAUUAUGUAUUAAAUUUAUGAAAUUAUCUUUUUUUUAUUCUAUAUGUAUAAUGUCUAAAUUUGUUGUAAGAUGAAAGUUAAAUAUUUUUCAUCUAAUUUAUUAUUGUUAACAUAUAAACCAUACGAUGUGAAUGAAUUUUCUAUUUUAAAGGCAGAAUUGCAAGUUAAUACGCAGCAACUCUGUUAUCGGAUUGUUUAGAUGGUGAGUAAAACUUAGUACUUGCUUGAAAAUUGUAUACAAUAGUCCUGUCCAGACAUUUAAUAAGUAAUUUAUGGUAAUACAGUUUGUAAGCACAGAUUUUGUAUUUAUUUACAAUUUUUUUUAUUUGCACAUCGAAAGUAUCUUUAGUUCUUUGUUAAUUUUUUUAUGAAAAAUUGACGAACGGGUAGAAAGUAUCAAAGACAAUAUACAUAGGUGCAAUCAGAAUUUCAAAAUACAGAUGCCAUUAAACGAAAGAGACAAACCAAAUAACAUGUAUACGAACAAAAUAAAAGAGGAUAACUUGAUUGAAAAGCAAACGCACUUAACGUACUAUAAACAAAUUAGAAUCCAUGAAAACAGGAUAUGGGAAAAUUUUACAAGCCACAACAUUUUAUUGUCAACCACCUUUAAAAUUCUAAAAAAAUAUCCCAAAAAAAUUAUGUCCAUGUUGAUGAAUAGAGUAGUUCAUAAAUAGUGAGGUUACAGUCAUAUACAUUGAAUAGUUUAUAAUGCAUUAAUCUAUAUACGUUGUAUGUUUUACAAUGCUCAAUAUAAGCAACUUUGACCUCAAUACAACCUCUUUCUUUCUCUAACAUAAAAUAGAUGUUGGAUGAUUGACAAUUAGACAACCAUCUACAAUAUUUCAAACGACGAAGAUAUAAUCAUUUUUCCACACAAACAUCAGAUGAUCAGAGAAAAUGUGGAGGUGGGUUGGACAUUUGACGCUUCCUUUUCUCAAAUCUUAACAAAUAUCAAUAGCGUGUAUCAUUCGGAACUGAUAAACAGUAACAAUCAACAAUGAGUAAUACACAAUUAAUAGACUGUAAUUCAUAAUUUUUUUUCAGAUAAUUAUUUCACUUUAGCUACGAAUCAUACAAAAGGGACAACGUUUCAGAAAAGAAGGUAAUUAUUACUCAGUUUCAUAUAGAUUUAACAAACAAGGACAAAACUGAGUUUACAUAGCUUUUUCAACUGAUUUUUAUAGUUCGUUCUUAUGCUGCACUGGUAUACUACUGUCCCAGGUUAGGGGAGGGUUGGAAUCCCGCUAACAUGUUUAACCACGCCACAUUAUUUAUGUAUGUGCCUGUCCCAAGUCAGGAGGCUGUAAUUCAGUGACUGUCGUUUGUUUAUGUGUUACAUAUUUGUUUUUCGUUCAUCUUUUUAUAUAAAUAAGGCCGUUAGUUUUCUCGUUUGAAUUGUUUCACAUUGUAAUAUCGGG